Molecule: ribosomal RNA, 484 nt
Filed under: uncultured bacterium
Lineage: Bacteria
Description: partial 16S ribosomal RNA
Rfam family: Bacterial small subunit ribosomal RNA
Source: RNAcentral
AUUGAACGCUGGCGGCAGGCCUAACACAUGCAAGUCGAGCGGAUGAAGGGAGCUUGCUCCUGGAUUCAGCGGCGGACGGGUGAGUAAUGCCUAGGAAUCUGCCUGGUAGUGGGGGAUAACGUCCGGAAACGGGCGCUAAUACCGCAUACGUCCUGAGGGAGAAAGUGGGGGAUCUUCGGACCUCACGCUAUCAGAUGAGCCUAGGUCGGAUUAGCUAGUUGGUGGGGUAAAGGCCUACCAAGGCGACGAUCCGUAACUGGUCUGAGAGGAUGAUCAGUCAUACUGGAACUGAGACACGGUCCAGACUCCUACGGGAGGCAGCAGUGGGGAAUAUUGGACAAUGGGCGAAAGCCUGAUCCAGCCAUGCCGCGUGUGUGAAGAGGGCCUUCGGAUUGUAAAGCACUUUAAGUUGGGAGGAAGGGCAGUAAGUUAAUACCUUGCUGUUUUGACGUUACCAACAGAAUAAGCACCGGCUAACUUCGUG